UACGAAGGGGGCAAGCGUUGUCCGGAAUUACUGGGCGUAAAGAGCUCGUAGGUGGUUUGUCGCGUUGUUCGUGAAAACUCACAGCUUAACUGUGGGCGUGCGGGCGAUACGGGCAGACUGGAGUACUGCAGGGGAGACUGGAAUUCCUGGUGUAGCGGUGGAAUGCGCAGAUAUCAGGAGGAACACCGGUGGCGAAGGCGGGUCUCUGGGCAGUAACUGACGCUGAGGAGCGAAAGCGUGGGGAGCGAACAGG
This 253-nucleotide ribosomal RNA is filed under the name uncultured bacterium. RNAcentral describes it as "partial 16S ribosomal RNA". It matches the Rfam family "Bacterial small subunit ribosomal RNA", at positions 524 to 776 of the family's 1533-position model. The record is from RNAcentral.